RNAcentral lists this ribosomal RNA (782 nucleotides) under uncultured Bacteroidota bacterium. RNAcentral's name for it is "bacterial SSU rRNA". It matches the Rfam family "Bacterial small subunit ribosomal RNA", at positions 49 to 824 of the family's 1533-position model. Lineage: Bacteria; Pseudomonadati; Bacteroidota. The record is from RNAcentral.
CUACACAUGCAAGUCGAACGGUAACAUGGAUUGCUUGCAAUCUGAUGACGAGUGGCGCACGGGUGCGUAACGCGUAUGCAAUCUACCUUUUACAGGAGAAUAGCCCAGAGAAAUUUGGAAUAAUGCUCCAUAAUAUCAUUUAUCAGCAUUGGUUUAUGAUUAAAGCUCCGGCGGUAAAAGAUGAGCAUGCGUUCUAUUAGCUAGUAGGUGAGGUAACGGCUCACCUAGGCUACGAUAGAUAGGGGCCCUGAGAGGGGGAUCCCCCACACUGGUACUGAGACACGGACCAGACUCCUACGGGAGGCAGCAGUGAGGAAUAUUGGACAAUGGAGGAAACUCUGAUCCAGCCAUGCCGCGUGCAGGAUGACUGCCCUAUGGGUUGUAAACUGCUUUUAUAUAGGAAGAAACACUCCCACGUGUGGGGGCUUGACGGUACUAUAUGAAUAAGGAUCGGCUAACUCCGUGCCAGCAGCCGCGGUAAUACGGAGGAUCCAAGCGUUAUCCGGAAUCAUUGGGUUUAAAGGGUCCGCAGGCGGCCUGUUAAGUCAGAGGUGAAAUCCUACAGCUCAACUGUAGAACUGCCUUUGAUACUGAUAGGCUUGAGUUAUUGUGAAGUGGUUAGAAUGUGUGGUGUAGCGGUGAAAUGCUUAGAUAUCACACAGAAUACCCAUUGCGAAGGCAGAUCACUAACAAUAUACUGACGCUCAUGGACGAAAGCGUGGGGAGCGAACAGGAUUAGAUACCCUGUUAGUCCACGCCGUAAACGAUGGAUACUAACUGUU